Molecule: long non-coding RNA, 223 nt
Filed under: Mytilus galloprovincialis (Mediterranean mussel)
Lineage: Eukaryota; Metazoa; Mollusca; Bivalvia; Mytilida; Mytilidae
Source: RNAcentral
GCGGGUAUCAAGCAAAACAAGAAGUUUAUAAACAUACUAUACAGCGUUGGAUUGGUUUUUGUCAUCUAAAGUAGUGUGUCAUUGAUCCAUCUAAUAUUAAACCCUCAUCCUAGAUAGCCGAUGAAGUUGAGCUGACCCAGCACGGCCUUUCAGUUGUAAUUUUUUUUUUUUAAAUUUAAAAUUAAUUUUUUUUCAAUUGAAACAUCGAAUGGAAGCUUUUAAC